AGCAGGCGGGUACAAAAUUUGUUAUUAUUAAUUACUCAAAUAACGAGGAGAGUUAGGAGUGUGUUAGAGCUGUGUGUUAGUUGAACGAGUCGAUUCGAGUCUGAGAUAUACAGUUUGUCAAUUUAUCAAAAAUAUAUAUAAUAUUUACACUUGGCAGUAGUUCUCUCUAUCUUCGCCAAGGUUCAUGCCAAUCAAUAUGAAUAACAGUUGAUGAUGAGCUGUUGUGAUGUGUGAUGUCUGUGUAUGAACUUGAGUUUAAUGAGCAACUUUCGUAAUUAAUAAUAAACAUGCAUAGAGCAGGAAUUAGUAGAAACAAGAGGCGAACUGUCAGAUGGAGGAGAGACAGAUAAAGUCAAACACACAAUAUUUUAAACUUACUUUGACAUCGUCAAUAAGGCUGAUUAAGAUGCCGUUAACCCAGCUAAAGGGUGCUAAAAUUAGUUAUUAACGUUAUUAUCCAUGAAAACACCUCAAAUGACAUUCAAGUCUCAAGUUCUCAGUCUCGAGACUUAAAUGCCAAGUUAUUAUCUUUUAUAUUACAGCCCUGAACUUCUUCAACUACAAGUAAGGCGACACUCAUCAGAGGACGAACAAAGCGAAGGCAAAUUAAGUUACAGAUUGUAUCUGUUGUCAAACAAUUUGUAUUCGAAGUAUCCAUUACUUAACCGAAAAACAAUUCAGGUCAAUGUAUAGUUAGUUAGACUUAAUCAAACCGAAUCCAAUAAAAAAUCCUUAUACCAUAAAUAAAAUGUUAACCCAUCAUGCACUCAAUAUACAUUGUAUGUUGGCUCUUUAUAGAAUUAGUAGUAAAUAAAAUUACUUUACGU
Long non-coding RNA from Drosophila sulfurigaster albostrigata, 827 nucleotides. RefSeq lists it as uncharacterized. NCBI's taxonomy places the organism in Eukaryota, Metazoa, Arthropoda, Insecta, Diptera, Drosophilidae. The record is from RefSeq and is a predicted model, not a curated record. The transcript is spliced from 3 exons.